GACGAACCGAGCGAACGUUGUUCGGAAUCACUGGGCUUAAAGGGCGCGUAGGCGGGCUGUCAAGUCUGGGGUGAAAUCCCACGGCUCAACCGUGGAACUGCCUUAGAUACUGACGGCCUCGAGGGAGGUAGGGGCGGCCGGAACUUCCGGUGGAGCGGUGAAAUGCGUAGAUAUCGGAAGGAACGCCGGUGGCGAAAGCGGGCCGCUGGACCUCUACUGACGCUGAGGCGCGAAAGCCAGGGGAGCGAACGGG
Molecule: ribosomal RNA, 253 nt
Filed under: uncultured bacterium
Lineage: Bacteria
Description: partial 16S ribosomal RNA
Rfam family: Bacterial small subunit ribosomal RNA
Source: RNAcentral